This 468-nucleotide ribosomal RNA is filed under the name uncultured bacterium. Its description in RNAcentral is "partial 16S ribosomal RNA". It matches the Rfam family "Bacterial small subunit ribosomal RNA", at positions 28 to 507 of the family's 1533-position model. The record is from RNAcentral.
GACGAACGCUGGCGGCGUGCUUAACACAUGCAAGUCGAACGGAAAGGCCCUGCUUUUGUGGGUUGCUCGAGUGGCGAACGGGUGAGUAACACGUGAGUAACCUGCCCUUGACUUUGGGUUAACUUCAGGAAACUGGGUCUAAUACCGGAUAGGAGCUCCUGCUGCAUGGUGGUGUUUGGAAAGUUUCGGCGGUUGGGGAUGGACUCGCGGCUUAUCAGCUUGUUGGUGGGGUAGUGGCUUACCAAGGCUUUGACGGGUAGCCGGCCUGAGAGGGUGACCGGCCACAUUGGGACUGAGAUACGGCCCAGACUCCUACGGGAGGCAGCAGUGGGGAAUAUUGCACAAUGGGCGGAAGCCUGAUGCAGCAACGCCGCGUGCGGGAUGACGGCCUUCGGGUUGUAAACCGCUUUCGCCUGUGACGAAGCGUGAGUGACGGUAAUGGGUAAAGAAGCACCGGCUAACUACGUG